RNAcentral lists this ribosomal RNA (471 nucleotides) under uncultured bacterium. RNAcentral describes it as "bacterial SSU rRNA". It matches the Rfam family "Bacterial small subunit ribosomal RNA", at positions 329 to 793 of the family's 1533-position model. The record is from RNAcentral.
GCAGGCCAUCCUACGGGAGGCAGCAGUGGGGAAUAUUGCACAAUGGGCGCAAGCCUGAUGCAGCCAUGCCGCGUGUAUGAAGAAGGCCUUCGGGUUGUAAAGUACUUUCAGCAGUGAGGAAGGUGGGUAUGUUAAUAGCAUACUCAUUUGACGUUAGCUGCAGAAGAAGCACCGGCUAACUCCGUGCCAGCAGCCGCGGUAAUACGGAGGGUGCGAGCGUUAAUCGGAAUUACUGGGCGUAAAGCGCAUGCAGGUGGUUUGUUAAGUCAGAUGUGAAAGCCCGGGGCUCAACCUCGGAAUUGCAUUUGAAACUGGCAAACUAGAGUACUGUAGAGGGGGUAGAAUUUCAGGUGUAGCGGUGAAAUGCGUAGAGAUCUGAAGGAAUACCGGUGGCGAAGGCGGCCCCCUGGACAGAUACUGACACUCAGAUGCGAAAGCGUGGGGAGCAAACAGGAUUAGAUACCCUGGUAG